GCAUUUCCUCUACAUUUAUUGCAACGGCUAAAUGAUUAACAACAUUCACAACUUCUUAGAUCUUAAAAAACAGAAACAAAAGAAAACUUCCAUUUUGUAACAUCACAAAUGUCUUCUAGGCUUUAUCAAGGACCAAAAACACUACAAUUCUCUAAGUGAUUUCCAGUGAUGGAAACAAGCCAGAGACAGUAAAGCACCCAGAGUGGCGAGAGAGCACUUCCAGAUGCCUGUUGUCCUCUCGGGGGUGACCCUGGAACUAGAACGACAGAAAAGACACUGUGACUUUGACACGGCUGUGCCACCACACAUCACGCGCGACACGAGGAUCCUGCAGAGCGGCCUCUGCAGAGAGCAAGGACAGCCUCGGUUAAGAGGGAGGGGCUGGGGGCACGGAGGGCCAGUGGCAUCUCCUCUAUCCCGGCUGGCCGGCAGCUGGCAGCACGCACCAUGCUCUGCUGGCUCCCGACACCUUCACUGCCCCAGCGCUGAAUCCACAGGAGAGGUGUCCUCUGAGAGUGUAGGGGGCUUUCUAGGUUCAAGGAGAUGUGCCCUUUGACCCCUGCCAAGGACUCACAGAACCAUCUCAGCUCAAACUUGGAGGAGCGGCAGGAGGUGGGGGGCGGUCAGUGGCCACACGCCACAGAUUCCUAAAGCAUUUAACUUUUUAAUAAAAUGAAGUGGAGAAAGUCAAGAAUGAACAUGCUAGGACAAAGCACAUGGAAUGGUCAGGGCGAUGCUGGAGAGAGUGCGCUUGAUCCACGCUGCAGGUGUGUGCGCCUCGCUCGGGUCAAUGGGCUGAGCCCCGCUUGGAGCUCCAUCCAUUCACCUGACCCAUGGCCAACAUGGAAGCUGUCGGAGGGGUCAGGAAAGGAGAAGGAGAAAGGAGAAGAUGAACCCCCCGCACCUGUGACUCCCCAAAACCAGCUCCACUCCAGGCCCCCACAGGCUGGUUCGUUCGAGGGUUGGGUUAUAAACCCAAACUCCAUCCUCCAUGCUGGCACCUCUACUGCCAUAAAGAUCUGCCAGUUGCCAAAGCUACAGAAGCCACUGGAAGCAAGCAGAGCCCCUGGGGGUGGUGGCACUGCAAGGUGACAGGGACCAGGCAGACAAGGAGCUGGGACCACAGCCUAGGAAGUCUGUGGCUUAAAGAAAGCCAGGAUUUCCUUUUUUUUUUUUGAGACAGAGUCUCGCUCUGUUGCCAGGCUGGAGUGCGGUGGCACAAUCUCGGCUCACUGCAACCUCCGCCUCCCGGGUUCAAGUGAUUCUCCUGCCUCAGCCUCCUGAGUAGCUGGGACUACAAGCGCCCGCCACCACGCCCAGCUAAUUUUUUGCAUUUUUAGUAGAGACAGGGUUUCACCAUGUUGGCCAGGAUGGUCUCGAUCUCUUGACCUCGUGAUCCAUCCGCCUCAACCUCCUAAAGUGCUGGGAUUACAGGCUUGAGCCACUGUGCCUGGCCCAAAGCCAGGAUUUCUUUACAGCCAAUACAAGUGGCAUUUCCCGCUCAGUUCUGUGGCUGAUGCCCUAGCCACUGCUGUGUCCCCUAAUCCUGGGGUGUCAGAGGGAUCCUAAGUUUUCCAGAUUUUUGCCCAUACUUAAAACUUCAACGAUCCUGCUUCACAAGGAAGGAUGAGUGGAGAAUUGAGUGGAGUUACACGCAGCAGAGUGCUGGGGAAUCUGGAGAGCGGGGGCGAUCACAUGCCUGGAAAUAGAGCAGCUGCAGAGCCCACCCCAGGAGGAGCCUGCCUCUCCUUACAAAGGCUGUAAUAAGACAGCACUUGACGAUGCCAUACGUGCGAAAAGUGCAGAGUCUCAGAGGGUUUACAACCCCCAUCCCUUUGUAACUGUAGUUUGCUUACACUGUGGAUUCUAAAGAGACAUGUAAAUCUGGGGCCGAUUUCAUCUGUUUAAUGAUUACUCCCCACCCGAUAGAGCUAUUCUAUACUGUUGCUAAAAUUUCAUUAAGUCUCUCAAGAUGCAUUGAUGAGAUGAGACACCAUGAAUAACACAUUCAUCAACUCAAGUAUGGCAACUGUUCAGAGAGCUUCAGAGCUUUGGUACCCGAGUGCAGACUUGGUAAUUACCGGGAAUUUGUCUCCCCCGUAUAAAUUCUGGCGAACAACGAGAAAACACCAUCUGUGAUCGUUUCCACAUCACGUUUGCUAACAGAGCACUUCUGGAGAGCAAUGGCCAGUCCAACUGGAAAAUCAGCCAGAGGAGCUGGUUCCUCAGCACUCACAGGCUGAGGUGCCUUUCGGGGGCAGCGCCACCUUCUGAAGGGGAACCAAGACAGAUUUGGAGGGGACUUGCUGCUAAAAGCAUGUGAACAGAGAGGAGAGGCAAAAGCACAUUGAAAAUGGUGCAUGUUUUUUUCUUUGAGAGAAAGAAAAGCCAGCGAAACCUCCGCCCCAGAGACUG
Molecule: long non-coding RNA, 2415 nt
Filed under: Homo sapiens (human)
Lineage: Eukaryota; Metazoa; Chordata; Mammalia; Primates; Hominidae
Description: non-protein coding lnc-ARMC6-1:1
Source: RNAcentral